This 406-nucleotide ribosomal RNA is filed under the name uncultured bacterium. Its description in RNAcentral is "partial 16S ribosomal RNA". It matches the Rfam family "Bacterial small subunit ribosomal RNA", at positions 30 to 526 of the family's 1533-position model. The record is from RNAcentral.
AUUGAACGCUGGCGGCAGGCCUAACACAUGCAAGUCGAACGAGUGGCGGACGGGUGAGUAAUGUAUGGGAAACUGCCUGAUGGAGGGGGAUAAAUCCUGGAAACGGUAGCUAAUACCGCAUUCCCUCGCCUGUGCCCAGUUGGGUUUAGCUAGUAGGUGGGGUAAAGGCUCACCUAGGCUACGACCCCUAACUGGUAUGAGAGGAUGACCAGCCACACUGGAAAUGAGACACGGUCCAGACUCCUACGGGAGGCAGCAGUGGGGAAUAUUGCACAAUGGGCGCAAGCCUGAUGCAGCCAUGCCGCGUGUAUGAAGAAGGCCUUCGGGUUGUAAAGUACUUUCAGCGGGGAGGCGUUACCCGCAGAAGAAGCACCGGCUAACUCCGUGCCAGCAGCCGCGGUAAUUC